Long non-coding RNA from Orcinus orca (killer whale), 17404 nucleotides. RefSeq lists it as uncharacterized. The record is from RefSeq and is a predicted model, not a curated record. The transcript is spliced from 3 exons. Lineage: Eukaryota; Metazoa; Chordata; Mammalia; Artiodactyla; Delphinidae.
ACAUUUUGCCAUCUAUGUUAGCUUCCUGUGGCCGCUGUAACACAGUACCACAAACUUGGUGGCUUAAAACUGUAGAAAUGUAUUCUCUCACAGUUCUGGAGGCCAGAAGUUUCAAAUCAAAGUGUCAGCGUGGCUGUGCUUCCUCUGGAGGCCCUAGCGGAGAAUUCAUUCCUUGCCUCUUCCAGCUUCUGGUUGCUGCUGGCAUUCCUUUGCUUGGGGCUGCAUCACUCCAAUCCCUGCCUCUGUCUUCACCUCACCUUUCCUGUGUGUUUUCUCCUCUUCUGUCUGUGUCAAAACUCCUUCCAGCUCUCAUGAAGAUACAUAUGAUUGCACGUAGGGUCUACGUAGAUAAUCCGGGAUUAAGCUCCUCCUGUCAAGAUCCUUAACUUAAUCACAUCUUUUGCCAUGAAAGGUAAUAUUCAUGGGUUCCGGAAAUUAGGAAAUGGACAUAUCUUUGGUGCCACCGUUUGGCCCACCACUCCAUCUGAGAACCUAGACUCAUAAAAUCAUCCACCAUCUCUCAUUCAUUAUAUAACUUAGUGGUUAUAGAAGCAAAAGCUCUGGAGUCUAACUCCUGGGUUCCCGUCCUAGCUCUGUCAUUGGCUGUGGGACCUUGGGCAAAUUCCUUAGUCUCUCAGCACCUCAGUUUUCUUGCCUGAAAAACUGAGGAUAGUAUCUCCCUUGUAGGAUUGUAAUAAGGAUUAAACAAAAUGCUCUGUAAAAACACACAGUGUAGCACCUGGCACAUAGUAACCACUCAGUAAAUGUUAGCUACUAUUAGAGAUGAUGGUUUUAGGAUAUGUCUGCAACUUCUUUAAUAUUCCUUUCUUCAAGAGGUGAGGCUUAAUUCUCCUCCUCUUGAGUAUUGACUGGAUCUAGUGCCUCACUUCUAAUGAAUAGAAUAAAGCAGAAGUAACCACGUGUGACUUCAAGGACUAGGUCAUAAAAGACAAGGCAGCUUGGCCCUUGCUCUCUCUCUUUAGUCACUUGCUUUGGGGAAGCCAGCUUUCAUGUCAUAAGGACUCUGUGGCAAGGAACUGAGGUGUCCAGACAUCAGCCAGCAGCAGUAAGUGAAUUUGGAAGAGGCUCCUCCAGUCCCCGUCAAGCCUUCAGAUGACUGCAGCUCUGGUCAGUGCCUUGAUUGCAAUCUCAUGAGAGACUCUGAGUCAGACCACUCAGCUCAGUUACUCUUGGCUCUCUGACCUAUAGAAACUCUGAGAGAACAAAUGUGGUUUUAAGCCACUAAGCUUUAGGGUAAUUUGGCAUACAGCAACAGCUAACUAAUAAACUAGCUAUUAUUAUUUAAUCUUUAGACAUUAAUUAUCUAUUGCAUGCCAAGCAAGGGAGAUUAUAGGGUUGGCAGAGUAUCUGCCUUCAGAGAGCAUUCAGUCUUGUGGGGAUUGGAGGGGGUUGUGGAAUAUAAAACAAUGUUUACAGUGGACUGUGAGACAGUGCCUGUGUGGUCUGUAGCACAGACAAGGUACAAAAAUGCUUUAUUAUGACAACAUUCUGCAAAGGGAGCUGCUGAUCUGGUUGGGCCAGUCUAGAACACCAGAAUAUAGGCUGAAGUUCAGGUAGAGUCCAUCUCAGUCUGGGAGCCUGCAUAUAACAGUACCUGGAGGGACUUUAUGAAGGGAAAAAAACCUCAGUAAUUUAUUAAAAUCCCAUACUAGAUCUAAAUAUACACCUAUCCUAUGAUCCAGAAUUUCCACUCUUGAAUAUAAACCAAAGAGAAAUGUAGUUCACCAAAAGACAAGAUGAUUCAUAGCAGUGUUAUUCAUAAUAUCCCUAAACUGGAGGUGUCCUAGUGUCUAUAAACAAAUUACAAUAUAUUCACACAACGGAAUACCUCUCAGCAACGACAAAGAACAAACCACUGAUACAUGCAACAACGUGAAUGAAUCUCAGAAACAUUAUGCUGAACAAAAUAAGCCAGGAAUCUAUGAGCAUAUAUAGGAAUAUAUAAACGUAUACCAAGAUCAGGAUAUAGGACAUUUCCAGUACUUUACUGUAUGCAGUUAAUACCUUUUUUUUUUAUAAAUUUUAUUUAUUUAUUUUUGGCUGUGAUGGGUCUUCGUUGCUGCACGUGGGCUUUCUGUAGUUGCAGCGAGCGGGGGCUACUCUUCUUUGCGGUGCGUGGGCUUCUCAUUGCGGUGGCUUCUCUUAUUGCAGAGCAUGGGCUCUAGGUGUGCAGGCUUCAGUAGAUGUGGCUCACUGGCUUCAGUAGUUGUGGCUCGCGGGCUCUAGAUCACAGGCUCAGUAGUUGUGGUGCAUGGGCUUAGUUGCUCCACCGCAUGCGGGAUCUUCCCAGACCAGGGCUCGAACCCGUGUCCCCUGCAUGGCAGGCGGAUUCUUAACCACUGCACCACCAGGGAAGCCCGCAGUUAAUACCUUAAUUUAAAAUUUUCUUUAAGAUAAGUGGACUACUAAAAAAGAUUGAAGCAUAUUAUUAAGCACGAAUUACAUAUAUUUUAAUAUACUUAUUUAUGCAUGAGAGUGUGUACAGUAUACUGCAAAUCCAUGAGCUCUGACAUAAACAUCCAGCUCCUUGUCAGAAGAUCUCAUUGGCUUAGCUGUACAGCUAAGGCAGCAAUUCCUAACCGGUGUACACUGGAGUACCACAAAGGUAUAAGCUCAAUUUCAGCUACAGUAAUUCCGGAUGUGGUUGGAAGAUUGAGCUGGAGAGAUUAUGGGAUUGAGGGUAGCUGGAGUACAACUCACUGGGUGCGAGAAAUAGGAUUACACACAAGAGCUCUCCUUUGUGGGUAAGUAAGGGCAUACGGUUCUAUCAAACAAUGUCAUGAUGCCGAGAACCAGCAAGUAAAUGCUGUACACCUGGAGGUACAGUAUAAUCCCUCAGGCAUGCCUCUAGAAACCCUAGUAUUUGAGAGUGUGUCCUGGUCUCCAAAGAUCAACUUAACUAAGGAAGGUCCUCCUUUCAGGUCCGUUAUGGGUCUGUCUUGUUCCAAGUUCACACAUCUUCCUCUGGAUUCCUGUGCCACCUGCAAGAGGGUGAUAUUUUCUUGUCUCAUGGCCUUUAUUAAUAUUUAAAGAACAUCUUUAGGCUUGUCUUAUGACAUUACUCAGAGCUUGUGACAAGUGCAAGCCUUUGUUAGUUUAUUCCUAGAGAAGACUUCUAUUUCCUCUGUUCACUCUUCAAGAUUCCAGCACCCUGCCUCUGCCUCCAUCUGGGGAUGGCUUCCCUUCUCCUAAUAUGAGCCGCCUGCUCCAAAUCUCCCUGUUUUCUGCAGGGAUGUGACAAUUCUGAGAGUUAUAAUCUGCUUCCUUUGGUUGGAAGAAUAAUUUCCUGGUUGGAAUCCAAGCUGAAAAAGAAUUCUCCUUUGAACAGAAACAUUGGGAAGGUGAUAUCUUUUGUGCAGUGCUGGUGACCUUCCUGGCUGCCGAAGGUCAGCUGCUUUACCGUUUCUUGACUGAUGUCAUGUAGCCAACACUUGAUAAUUGAGGUGAACCCCAGGUAUAAUAGGUAUAAUAGUGGAACAAAGGAGGAGGUAUGGUCACUCCUGCCUGGGACAGGAAAGGUGAGGUGGUCAGGACUCUGGGUGCAUGUGAUAGAUAUUCUAAUCAACUUAGGCAAAUAGGGGGCAUUAAUUGGUUCCUGUGAGCAAACCCUGGGAUGGUUAGGAUAUGGUUUCAUGUAGGUUUGGCAGCUUCAUGAUUGCUGGUUGUUCUGGGCGUGUCUUCCCAGCUUCCUCAACGGAGAGGAGAGGGUUCUUUACUUCCAGCUCCAAUUUAAAAAUCCUAGGGAAGAAUACUGAAUGGCUUUUGUUGGGUCAUGUGCCUGACCUUUGGGCCAAUCACCAUAGCCCAGGAGAUGAGGUACUGUGGCUGGGGGAGGGAUUUUGAUUGAAGUGAGGAGGGACUAGUUCUUCAAGAGAAAGGAGGGUGAUGUUACCAGAAUAAGGGGAAAACAUGUACCAGGAAGACAAGAGUUUUUCACUGUAGAAAAUUUCAGAAAAUGUGGGAUUUUAUAAAAGAGCAUAAUUGCCUCCAAUGCUAAUAUGCACUCCUUUUACAAUAUGACUUUGCUGCUCUUCCACUCUCUACCCCUUGAAUCUGGUGACUUGCUUUGGCCAGUGAACAUCUGCAAAUGUGAUGUAAACAGAGGUUUCAUAAGCACUUGCACACUGGGGCUUGCCCUUUCUCUUGUUGCUGGGAACCUGAGUCCACAAUGUAAACAAGUCCAAGCUAGCCUCCUGGAGGGUGAGAUCAUGUCCAGAGAGGCUCUAGCCAUCCUUGCUAUCCCAGAUAUACCAGCUGAGGCCGCUGACAUGUGAGUGAGGCCACUCCAGACCAUCUGUCCCUAGCUGAGUCAGCCUAGACUAGAAGAACCAUCCACCCAAUCCACAGACUUAUGAGAAAUAAUCAGUGUUUUUUGUUUUAAACCACUAUGUUUUGGUUUGUUAUGCAGCAGAAGCUAACUGAUACAGAGAGGAUAAUGCAAUUUAGUAAGAUCCUAAAUUGGCUAGACCUCUGAGGAAGAGGUGGCAGUCAGGGAAGGGGGAACAUUCCUGGCAGAAGAGACAGAAUCAGCAAAAGCACAGAGGCAUGAAACAGCAUGGCACACGUGGACACCUCAGUGUUCUGGUUUCACUGAAACACAGGGAUAGAGUUGGGAAGUGACGGAAAACACAGCCAAAGGACUAGGUAGGGGCUAGAUCAGAAAGAGCCUUCCAUACUGGGUUACAGAGUUUCCAUUUAUCCUGAGGUCUAUGGGGAAACCAUGGAAAGCUUUUAAGCAGUAAAGAGACAUGAUUAGAUUUGUAUUCUUAAAAAAUAUCAUAGCUAUCAUUAGUGGAGCGUUUCCCGUGUUCCAGGUACUUUAAUAUGCAUGGCCAAAAGAGUGCUCUGGCUGCAGGGUGGAGAGGGAUUAGAGGCAGUCAGGAGGUACAGGCGGACCAGCCAGGAGCUACCAGGCAUUCGAGUGAGAGUGGGUGAAAGCCUGAACCAAGGCAGUGGCCCUGGGGAUGGGCGAGGUAUUCAGGAGGCAGGACUGCCUAGUGACUGCAUCGGGGGAGUCUGGAAGGACUCUUGAGGGUCUGGCUUAGGUGACUGUGGAGAAUUUUGGAAUCAGUGGCAUUGAGGAUUCUCAGUAUCCUAUAAUCCCAGCUCCCCAAAGUUGAAGGGGGCUUAGAGACUAUCCAGUCUCAUUCUCUCUAUGUCACUUACCACUGAUAAUUCCCAAGCUGAUUUUAGGUAGUCUAAGGACAUACCAUUUUUUUUUUAUGUUUGGGAAAUUAUUUUUAUUGUAUUAGGAACUACUAGCAUGUAAGACCCAUGAUUUCAUAGAUAUUAUAGCUUAGCAAAAAGCUAAAGAAGUUACUUCAAUUUAAAAAGCAAGUUGAUAAAAAGAAAAACAUUAUCAGUAAUAGCGCGGGUGUACACGGAUAUGGCUGAAAUUAGGCAUGAGUGAAGUUCAGGGCACCCAGCAUCACCUGGAGCGCAAAUCACAGGAUCCCAGAUGGUGAAUGCCCAUGUUUUCAAGUGGCCAGGUGGGACCCACCUGCACAGAGCCUGGCUGUCCAGUCACAUCUGGCCCAUUGGCCCUUGGGAGCUGACAGGGACAUGUCUGUGUUCGAGUCACCUUCAAAGCCAGAUCCAGGUUAAGGAUUAGAUGGUGGCUGUAAGAAGGUAGAGAAAAUGAACAUGCCUGUUCCCCAGAGGCCUUCAGGAGCCUCUGGCUCAGAGAGGUGAACUUGUCCUCACCCGCCUGCCUGUCUGCCUGCCCUCUGUGCAGGUCUCUGCAUUGUGCUCAGAAAAGACUCCUGCGCGCAGGCUGAAACUUCGCGUGUGGAUGCAGGGACUUUGUCUUGGGAGGCACUGUAAUGGAUGGCACCCAUCGUACCCCUGGGAGCCCAGAACCACUCACUGUGCAGGUAAAGGGCAGCUCUGGGCACCGUGAGGGUGCAGCCUGUGGCUUGAUGGAGGAGAGGAUUAGCGCUGCAGCCCAGCAGCCCGCCCCAGCCAUCGGGCGGUGCAUACCCGCCUGGACACGGCCUUUCCUGAUGGGCAGGGCCUCCCUUUGUGUGAUUCCUCAGCACAAUGUGUGUAAUCCUGCCGACCUGCCCAGCAGAGACGGGCGGGCAAGAGCGCGCUUGGCUUCCUGUCUUGUUGAAUGGCUUGAAUGGGCGCUGGGCCCACUCUUAAUCCCCCAGCGGCUGACUGUCCCGGCAGCAGGGCAGAGGAGGAAGGAGGGGAAGACAGCAGCUCUCCUGUCUUCUCUCCAGGCAGGAGGCUGGUUGCACCCUACCCAGCACUGUUCCACUUACGUUUGAAGGGCAGAUUUGAGACCAGCCAUGGGGUUGCUUGCCGGUGCCCUCUUGGAACCCUCUGCCCUUCUCCCAGCACCGUCCUUGGCCAGAGUUGGGUGAACUAGUAUUACAAGCAGGGAGCUAAUGGUAGAGGAGAAGAGCUUCAAGAUCCCAGCACAUCAGAACUGGAAGCAGCCUUAGGGAUUCCACUUCCCCCUCUCUUUUUGCAGUUGGGGAAACUGAGGCCCAUACAGGUCAGGAACAUGUUUAAGGUCACAUGAAUAAGUGACAGUAACUGACUUCAGUCAGGUGGCCUUUCCAUUGGACAGCAGCUGUUUCCCAAAUUGCUUCCUGGAGCAUUCCCAACUACUGGGAGACAUUUAAUGCUCCUGACAAAGAGUUAUACGGUCAGAUGCGCUGGGAGAUGCUGCAUGUGAACAAAGCACAUCUAGGAGCAGAGGCCAUGACAGGUCCUGCAGCCUGUGAACUUGGUCGACGUUAAUGCCACCCUUUCCAAAUGUACUUGGCAGUGCAGUUCUUUUUUCAUGUGGCACCUUUUCUCACACAGCAGUAGCACUUAACUCUAAAGGACACCAUCCGGAAAUUCUGCACUAGACUGUGCUAUAGACUUUCUAGAAGUGAUGAUGAAGAUGGUGAGGACACUUCUAUAUAAACUCUCUGUGGAGUUUAACCCACGUGAGAGCCUGUACCAUGGGAGGAAUCUCCUUUUAGACUCAGAGUCACCCGGUGUUUAUUGAGCAUCUCUUAUUACCAGGUGCCUUCCACCUCGGUUAUCUCUGCUGAGCCUCCCAAUAGCACUGUUGGAAAGGUAAUGGAACCUUGACUUUACAAUCGUGGAAACUGAGGCACAUGAAACUGAGUAACUCGCUUAAGGUCACACAGCCAACAGUCGGCUAAAGCAGGUUUUAAGCCGAGGUCCACCUGCCUUCAAUCCAAUGCUCCUGUUCUUCUGCCCUGCUCCCCUCUCCUCUUUCCCUACAGUCUGAUGAUGAGAAGCAAAUGCAUCAAACUGGAAAUAAAAGGAAGAAAGCCUGGGUUCAUAUGCUGUUCCACUCCUGAUGCAUUGUGUGACCUUGGACAGACCUUGUGCCCCCAGGUCUCAGCUCCUCCCCCUGCCAUGGGUGGGUUAGACGCGGAGCCCAGUCCCUGUGACUGUCUCCUGCUCCGGCAUUCCAUGACCCACUCCACGACUCUAGUUCUCAGGCCCAGGCAUAGGUCAUCCUAGGGAGAGGGUCAGUCCUGGAACGGGGUGACAUGAGGCUGGGUUCAUGUGUGGCAUCAGGACAGACCAGCCACCUGCCUGAGAAGGCAGAGCGUGUGCCGACUCACUCCUGACACCUUGUCAGAGCCAUGGGAAACUGUCACCCAGGGCUCAGGGAUGGAGUCAGCCCUGCAUGGUACUGGUAGCAUGACCUGUGAUGCCCUCACACAUAAUGACCUCCUUAAUGGGUGGUGGAGAAACUUGCAGGACUGGUGAGGGUGGAGCCGGGAAAGGGGCAGGCAGGCAUUGUGGCAUUCUAGACCUGACUUGAAUUUACUUUUUAUAGUCUGUAUCUGUCAUUAUUUAGACAAUCGGUCCACCCUCUUUUUUUCAAAGAAGAUGAUUUUCUUAGUUUGGGUGAGUUAAAAGGAGGCUCUAAGACAAAGAUUCAAGUGCAAGUGGUUUAUUUGGGAGGGGUUCCCAGGAAAUGCUGCCAGGGAGCCUGGAAGUAAAGCAGGGAAGGGGAAGAGCACGGUGAAUGGCACAUUAUCAAGCAAGUGGCCCCUGUUAGUAACUGGAGCUUGAUUAUGCUGGGGGCUCUGGGAACCAGUGUGUACAGCCUUGGCAUUGACCCACCUGAGGGGCCAGGCAGCUGGGGUAUGUAUCCCCCAACUCGUGUCAGUCACCAGUGGAAAACUGCGGCCAGGGAGGGGACUCUCAAUUCCCUAGCAUGUCUGGCCUGUGCUGGGAAUCACCAGCAGGUAGAGCCCCCAGGCAGAGCGGCAGGGGCUGAGCGCAUGUGGGUGAGCUACCAAAGUGUAUGCUACAGAGGGCUGGUGAGCCAGAAGCUGAAACUCCAAAACCUGAGAAGGGGUCUAAGUGCCUCCACAAUUUGCUGGAAGGGAAGGAAGGCUGAGUAAGUCACCUGCCCUCUUGGAGCUUCAGUCUUCUGAUCCAGCAGAUGGGAAUGGAACCCCUGCCCUGCCUAUCACACACAGGACCAAAUCAUAAAUUGUAAAAAGAUGAUGAGUAUAUUCACCUUGCUCCCAUCUGUUCCUCACCAUCUGCCUGUCCCUAAUACCACACACCACUUCUCAGUCACUUCAGCUAGGAUUGUGAACAUUUUGGUCAUUCCUACCCUUCCUGGCCAAGGAAGGAUCCCCCUUAGAAUGGGAAAGGACUUUAGAUCUAGAAAUUAAGAUUUUUUAAGCUCAAGAGGAAGCGGAAUGAUAUGGGCUUGGGAAUCAGGAGGCCAGGAAUAUUCCUUUAUUGAGGACCUACCAUAUCCACAGGCUGAGGGUGCUUGAUGAUGACACAGUUCCCCAAGGAGCUCUGUGUCCUUGGAUAGGCAGGCCGCUUGUCCUCUUGUGCCUUCAGUCUCCGCACCUGUGAAAUGGGCCAGUCUCCCCACCUGUGAAAUGGGGUCCCUUCUAGUGCUAUCAUUUUUUACUUUAAGUACAGAACUCCCAGUCUCCUUGAGAUCUGCAGCCCGGGAUCAGUGGCAGAACCAGAGGCAAGGGUCCCACUGUCUGGAGAUGAGUGAGUAGAGGCAGGGAAAGAUUCACUCUGCCCUCCAGGGAGACUGCCAUCAUGCCUGGGCUCCAUCUGCUGUGAGCACUGCAUAAGCUCUGCAAACAGCAGCUGAAGAUGGUGGAUUUGGGCAGCAUUAAGCUGUAUUAAGUUGAGCUGUUUCUACAAAGAGUACAUUUUAGGAUAAACAUGGCACCAGAGACACGCUAAGAGGAUGUAGCACUUGUAAGAAGUGGCUUCAUGCCAUCCCCAGCAGCUGGUGCAGAGAACGGCUCGCCAACUCCACCCACACGUUGGUGUCUCUAAGGAGAAAAUUGCACAGCACCCCCUUCCUCUGUUUAUUCCAGGAAGAAACACCCCUUGAGGCCUUAGGCACAUGACCCAAGCUGAGCCAAUCAGAGGGCUCCAACCUCCUGGCUACUGUGAUUGGUCCAAGGAUGAUCAUGUGACCCAAACCAGGCCAACUGGAGUCCUUUCUUGGGGUUUCUUUUAGCUGGUGGGAAAGAAUCCUCUCCUGAUGUGAUGGAGAGCUUGUGGAAGACAAAUCCACACCCAUGGAGAAGCCUGUCUGUGGCAGGAUGAAAUGAAGCCAACAGUUAGAGAUGAGAAGCUGAGAAGAAAGUGUCUUGGUGUCCGAGUCCCUGGUACCAGACCUCCCUGAGGCCAGCUCCACCCUUGCCCUUCUUGGUUACUUAAAACAAUAAAAUGCCUUCUUUGCUUAAGCUUUCUUUGUUAAGAAAUAAAACGACUUGAGUUUUAUUUCUCUCACACCAAGGCAAGAGAAUCUGAAAUGAGACCAACAUCUUCCAUUUAUUGAGCUUACUAUGUGCUGGGAGCUUUCCACUGCCUCACCUUAUGGAAUCCUGCACACAGCCAUGUGGGCCAUGAUUAUCAUGCCCAUUUUACAGAUGAGGAAGCUGAGAUGCAGAGGGAUGAGGGACUUAUGUAAAGUCAAUCAACUGUUAGUAAGUGACCAAGCAGGGAUUCAAACCCAGGUUUGGCUAACACCAAAAGCCACGUGCUUAGCCCUUUUACCACAGUGCUCACUCACAGCCUGAAGCCUCACCAGUUUUCACCCUCUGGGCAGCCGCCUUCAGAACAGACAGCUUCCAUGACUUGAUCUUUUGUGUCUUGGCUUCUUGUGUUGUGAUUGAAUUGCAAAUAAAAUUACCGUCAUAAGUCAUUUUUCAAUAAUGAGGUCUUAGGAUGGCUCUUGGCAGCAUAGCAGGUUAGAGUCAGUCUCCAUGUUUGAUUUCUCCUCACACUUUCACCAAGCUGAGCAAAUGCUUUUUAUCAACAUCCCUGGGAGUGUGACAUUUCUGAUCCUAUCAAAUCCUAGCCUUAAGAACUGCAACCAAUGUUCUCUCCAAAGGCUUAGAGAGAUGAAGUGACUUGCCUAGGUCAUCCAGCUUGUCAGGGCAGAGCAGAAAUUGGAGCCCAACUCUCCAUUUAGUUUAUUCCUUUUCCAAUAAAUUUUUGAGUCCUUACAGCCCUCAGGGUUUCAAACCCUCUGCCACAAGACAUUGGUGUCCAGGCACAGAUGACGGUGAUAUUGAUGCUAUCACUGGUAGAGGGUGGAGUAGAAAGCCCCACCUUUUUGCCUUUAACCAGUGAGAGUUUGAGUUUCCCUCAUUAAAACCUCCCAUGGGACCUUAGACAAAGCUGUGGGCAGGGAGUUGGGGCAGAGUACCUGUCUUCCCUCCAAAAACAGAGGGUUCUCUCAAAGCCAGUGUAGAAUGGAGGGAACACAGGAGAGCUCUGGGUUAGCCUUGGCACUGGCAAUGAAUCUCUGAGUGACCUUGAAUAUGUCCAUCAAAAAUAGCCACUCUUAUGGAACAGUUUUGAAUGAUAGCUAGAUACUCAUAGCUAUCCAGUGAAAUCCCACCUGACAGAUGGGGAAUCUGAGGCACAAGGCAGUUAAUAACACGUCCGAGGCAACGUGACACAAUUAGCAAGUGGCAGAACUGGGAUUAGAAGCCAGGCAGUCUGAUUCCAGAGUCCAUUCUGUUAACCACUUCACUGUAUCAGCUUCCUUUUGAAUUGUGAGUCAGGGUAUUCUCUGCAAUCAAACCAUUCCAGAUUUGGCAGGAGAAGGGCACACUGGAUAGUGUGAUUCUGAGGUUGAAAUCACCAGUUUUGUAUUAAGAUAAAACUAGAGUAAAUUUAUCUAGUCUUCUUUAAAGGCAGCUCACAUGGCUUCUUUUAUUAUUUGAGAAAAAGGAAAAAAGUCCCAUUCUCUGCCAUUCACGUGGACGAGCGUUAUCUCAGCAGGGUCUUUCCCAGUUCUUUACAGUUUGCGAAGUUAACUGCAAUGUCUCUGAGCUCAAAGGAUCCUCUGGCAAGGCAAAGAGAAUUGUCUCCCAUUUUACUGCUGAGAAAACUGGGACCAGAGUGGGGAAAAAAAUUUGCCACCUGUGUGUGCAUGCGUGCAUGUUUGUGUGUGCACGUGUAUGUGCGUGUAUGCGUUUGUUUCUGCGCGCAGAUCCGUGGAUGCUCCCGCAGACCUGGAUCCCAGCUGUGAGAGGAACUCACAGUUGUGAUGCUUGGAGGGGAGCGUUCCAGCUCACUGCCCGUGUAUGGAGUCACUCAGACUUAGCUAAGUACACAGCAGUCAGGAGCCUGAGCUGCAGCAGCUGAAAUCAGUGGGCAGCACAAAAAUGUAGGUGUAGCUCCCUCUCCACUCCUUCCUUCUCCCCCACCUCCCACGGGGUGGAACUGCCUGGAACAGGCCUGGCCCAGCCUAUGGGUCUGCACACGCAGCAUCCAGGAACAACUGCAGGGCAGCUCUGGGGCACAUGUGGAAACACGCACCCUGAUAUCCAUGGAUGUGUACACACAUGGAUUUCUAGAAGGAAUACUCAGGAAAGGUCUGGGGCUCUGAGUUCUGGUCUGGCUCAGCCUCUGACUCUCUGGUGACCUCAGAGCCUUGACUCUCCAUCUGUAUAAUGGGCAUGAUGAUGUCUGCCUCCCAGGGUUGUUACAAGUAUCCAGAAAAAGAUGGCAGGGUCCCAGAACUCUGGAUCUGCAGGAGCCCUGGGAGGCAAUUAGCCUAAUGCUCACAUUUCACAGACAGAGCUGCUGAGGCCCAGAGAGGGACACAGAGCAAGUCAAGCACAGAUUGGCUAGAACACAGGCCUCUGGACUCCCAGGACUCACACACCAAGAGUGGCCCUGAAAAGAGCAAAGUGCUGUUCAAGGCGAGUUCUUGCUCUUGCAUCUGAACAUCCACGUGGAGGUGAUUUUGAGACCAAAGUGCUUUGUAAACAGUAUUUAUUAACACAAAUUCACGUGUACUGUGCCAAGGUAGGGGGGGAAGGGGUGCCCUCUUUCCUUCUGAAAUAUUAGCUCAGAUAGGCAUACAAAAGACUUUGUGAAUCUGUUUGCUUAACAUAUUUGAUUAGCUUUCUGCCUACAAGUUCAUACUAAGCUCUUACAUAUCUGCUGGGCUCUUUAUUGACAGUGUAUCAAUUCAGCUUUCCCUAAAAGAUAAGCUCCAAGAUAGAAGGAGAGGCAAGGCAGCCUGGUUUUAGGGCCACCAGGAGUGUUUGCCCAAGUCCCUGACCCUGCGCUUACCCAUCUGUAGACUGCCAGGCUUGCAUUCAUCUUGGCCCCUGCCUGCCCUGGGCCCUGGGACCCGCCCCAAACUCCGCUUCCUCCCCUGGACUCUCACUUUGCCCUCUUACUGCAGCUCUCCAUACACACGCCUGCCUGUCUGUCAGCUUGGGUGCUCCUCCGGGCAGGAACUGAAACUCCAGUGCCCCUCACAGGACCCAGCCCACAGUCGCUGCUCAGGAAAUGGGACAGCUCCCAGGUGAACUUGGAGUUCAGGCAUGCAGGUCACAAGAGGAAGGAAGAACCUAAAGACAGUAGGUGAAGCAUUGGGAAAGCCAGCAUUCCUUUCUCCCUCGACUCCUGCUACCCAAACUGUGUAACAUUCCAGCCAGUGUGACAGGACUUCCUGGUUGAUACAGAGUCUCCUGCUAAUCAUCACAUCUGUUUAUUCUGCACAUACCAUGUGCCAGGCACUUCAUAUAUGUUACUUCUAAUCCUAGUCAGCUCUAAUCCCAUUUUCAAGAUUGGGACCCAAAGCUCAGAAACCUCCAUUUAUUUGCUUCAAGGAGAGGAGUUAGAAUCUGACCUCAGGUCUGUCUGAUUCCCAAGGCCAUGCUUAUUUUAUGACAACAUAGGCCCCUUCCUGAACUCUGAUACUCCCAGGAGACUUGGGACUAAGGGAUUUCCUUCUGCAGGGCUUUCUUCUUAUUGUAGAGGUAGGGAGGACAGGCUCUUCCUGGACCCUGCCUCCUUCAUCCUCUGACCUUAGUUUUCCUACGGGUACAGUGAGGAAAGGGACCAGAUCACCCAAACUUAUUGGUAGUUCUGACAGAUCAUCCACAUUCUUUGCUUGGGCUUUUAGGAGCAAAGAUGAGGGGACAGUGGGGCAAGGGGAGGACCCAGUUGUAACUGCUGUUCUCAGAAGGGGACAGGGAAGGACCCAGGCUGCCUGGGAUGGUGAUAAUUCAUCUCACUGGUCCAUAGCCCAUGGAAACAUGGAAUCCAGGAAGGUUUUCACAUCUGAUGAGGAGUAGAAUCACCUGGGGAUAUUUGCUAAUAUGCAGAUUCCUGGGUCCAGCUCCUGGAGGACCAGGGUGAUAGGUUUGGGGCAGGGAUAGGAUUGUGCAUUUUUUUUUUCUGAUCAUUUCUGUUUCUUUUUUUAAAAAUUUUAUUGAAGUAUAGUUAUUUACAAUGUGGCAUUAAUUUUUGCUGUACAGCAAAGUGACUCAGUUAUACAUAUAUAUAUUCUUUUACAUAUUCCUUUCCAUUUUGGUUUAUCACAGAAUAUUGAAUAUAGCUCCCUGUGCUACACAGUAAGACCUUGUUUAUCCAUCCUAUAUAUACUAGUUUGCAUCUGCUGAUCCCAAACUCCCAAUCCUUCCCUCCCCCACCCCCUGCCCCCUUGGCAAUCACAAGUCUGUUCUCUAUGUCUGUGAGUCUGUUUCUGUUUCAUAGAUAUGUUCCUUUGUGUCGUAUUUUAGAUUCCACAUAUGAGUGAUAUUAUAUGGCAUUUGUCUUUCUCUUUCUGACUCACUUUGCUUAGUAUGAUCAUCUCUAAGUGCAUCCAUAUAGCUGCAAAUGGCAUUAUUUCAUUCUUUUUAUGGCUGAGUAAUAUUCCAUUGUGUAUAUAUAUAUAUAUAUAUAUAUAUAUAUAUAUAUAUAUAUAUAUAUCACAUCUUUAUCCAUUCCUCUGUCGAUGGAUAUUUAGGUUGUUUCCGUGUCUUGGCUAUUGUAAAUAGUGCUGCUAUGAACAUAGGGAUGCAUGUAUCUUUUCCAAUUACAGUUUUGUCCAGAUAUAUGGCCAGGAUUGAAAUUGCUGGAUCAUAUGGCAACUCUAUUUUUAGUUUUUUGAGAAACUUCCAUGCUGUUUUCGAUAAUGGCUGCACCAAUUUACAUUCCCACCAACAGUGGAGGAAGGUUCCCUUUUCGCCACACCCUCUCCAAUAUUUAUUAUUUGUAGACUUUUUAAUGAUGGCCAUUCUGACUGGUGUGAGGUGGUACCUCAUUAUAGUUUUGAUUUGCAUUCAUCUAAUAAUUAGCAAUGUUGAGCAUCUUUUCAUGUACCUAUUGGCCAUCUGUAUGUCUUCUUUGGAAAAAUGUCUAUUUAGGUCUUCUGCCCAUCUUUCAAUUGGGUUGUUUGUUUUUUUGUUAUUGAGUUGUAAGAGCUGUUUGUAUAUUUUGGAAGUUAAGCCCUUGUCUGUUGCGUCAUUUGCAAAUACUUUCUCCCAGUUCGUAGGUUGUCUUUUUGUUUUGUUUAUGGUUUCUUUUGCUCUUCAGAAGCUUGUAAGUUUGAUUAGGUCCCAUUUGUUUAUUUUUGCUUUUCUUUCUAUUGCCUUGGAGACUGACCUAAGAAAACAUUCAUAUAUAUAAAAAAAGAAAACAUUGGUAUGAUUUAUGUCAGAAUGUUUUGCCUAUGUUCUCUUCUAGGAGUUUUAUGGUGUCACGUCUUAUAUUUAAGUCUUUAAGCCAUUUUGAGUUUAUUUUUGUGUAUGGUGUGAGGGUAUGUUCUAAUAACUUCAUUGAUUUACAUGUGGCUAUCCAACUUAUCCAACACUACUUGCUGAAGAGACUGUCUUUUCCCCAUUGUAUAUUGCCUCCUUUGUCGAAGAUUAAUUGUCCAUUAUUUUGGGGUUCUUUAUUCUGUUCCAUUGGUCCAUAUGUUUGUUUUGUGCCAAUACCUUCUUGUUUUGAUUACUAUAGCUUUGUGGUAUUGUCUGAAGUCUGGGAGGGUUAUGCCUCCUGCUUUGUUCAUUUUCCACAGGAUUGCUUUGACAAUUCUGGGUCUUUUGUGGUUCCAUAUAACUUUUAGGAUUAUUUGUUCUAGUUUUGUGAAAAUGUCAUGGGUAAUUUGAUAGGAAUUGCAUUAAAUCUGUAGAUUGCCUUGGGUAGUAUGGCCAUUUUAACAAUAUUAAUUCUUACAAUCCAAGAGCAUGGGAUACAGGAUUGUGCAUUUCUGACAAGCACUCCAGAUGAUAUUCAUAGCAGCACUAUUUUUAAUAGCCAGACAUUGGCCAACCUAAGUGUCUUUCAAUAGGAGAGUGGAUAAAUUGUAAUGUAUUUGUACAAUGGACUACUAUGCUUCAGUGAAAAUGAAAUAAACCAUUGCUACACUCAAAAACAUGAUGACUCUUACAGACGUAAUAUAGAGUGAAAGAAACUAGACACAAAAGAAUACAUAUUGUAUGAUUCAACUUAUAAGGAUUUUUUUUUUUUUUUUUGCGUUACGCGGGCCUCUCACUGUUGUGGCCUCUCCCGUUUUGGAGCACAGGCUCCGGACGCGCAGGCUCAGUGGCCAUGGCUCACGGGCCCAGCCGCUCCGCGGCAUGUGGGAUCUUCCCGGACCGGGGCACGAACCCGCGUCCCCUGCAUCGGCAGGCGGACUGUCAACCACUGCGCCACCAGGGAAGCCCUAUAAGGAUUUUUAAAACUUAGAAACGAAAAAACUAAUCAGGAUAAUAUCUCUCAGGGGUAUUGUGUGUGUGUGUGUGUGCGUGUGUGUAUCUGGCUUUUUUAAAACUGAGGUAUAGUUGAUUUACAAUAUUAGUUUCAGGUGUACAACAUAGUGAUUCAAACUUUUUAUAGACUAUACUCCUUUUAAAAUAAUUAUAAAAUAUUGGCUAUAUUCCCUGUGCUAUACAAUGUAUCCUUGUAGCUUAUUUAUUUUAUACAUAGUAGUUUGUAUCUCUUAAUCCCCUCCCCCUAUUUUACCCCUCCCCCUUCCCUCUCCCCAUUGGUAAACGCUAGUUCUCUAUGUCUGUGAGUCUGUUUCUGUUUUGUUACAUUCAUUCAUUUGUUUUAUUUUUUAGAUCCUACAUAUAAUUGAUAACAUACAUUAUUUUUCUUUCUUUGUCUGACUUAUUUCACUAAACAUAAUACUCUCCAGGUCCAUCAAUGUUGUUGCAAAUGGCAAAAUUUCAUUUUUUUUUAUGGCUGAGUAGUAAUCCAUUAUAUAUAUAUAUAUAUAUAUAUAUAUAUAUAUAUGUAUUUCAAUAGGAGAUUGAUAUAUGUGUGUGUGUGUGUGUAUAUACAUACAUAUAUAUAUAUAUUUACACCAAGUAUGAUUAAUUUUGUUUGUAUCUAACCUAAAAACAAGAUUCUGUGAACUGAUCCUUAAGCAGCCAGGUAAAUCAGGAAUUUUAGAACAGCUCUUUAAGAGAGGAUAAAGCCAAAUGAAAGAAAACACCUCAAUCCUAGAUAUCUAAAUACAAAAGAGAAAAUAUCAAGAAGCAAAAAGAAUCGUAUAUAUUUAUAUAUAUAUUACAUCUUCCUUAUCCAUUCAUCUGUUGAUGGGCACUUAGGUUGCUUCCAUGUCGUGGCUAUUGUAAAUCAUGCUGCUGCUGCUGCUGCUGCUGCUGUGAACAAUGGGGUGCAUGUAUCUUUUCAAAUUAGUGUUUUCACUUUCUUUGGAUAUAUACCCAGGAGUAGAAUUGCUGGAUCAUAUGGUAGUUCUGUUUUUAGUUUUUUGAGGAACUCUGAGGGGUAUUGACUCGGAGGGGGCAAGAAGAAGUCUUCUGUGGUCUAGGUAAUUUUCUUUAUGUUAAUCCACAUGACAUAGACAUUAUAUAUGUUUGUGAAAAUUCAUCUAUGCACUUUACUGAGUGUCUAUUUUACGUCAAAAUGUUUUUCGUUAAACUUAUUUAUUUAUUUACUUCUGGCUGCAUUGGAUCUUUGUUGCUGCACACAGGCUUUCUCUAGUUGCAGUGAGUGGGGGCUACUCUUCGUUGCAGUGCUCGGGCUUCUCAUUGCAGUGGCUUCUCUUCUUGCGGAUCACAGGCUCUAGGCACGUGGGCUUCAGUAGUUAUGGCACGUGGGCUCAGUAUGGGCAGCUCAC